Molecule: long non-coding RNA, 550 nt
Organism: Ruditapes philippinarum (Manila clam)
Lineage: Eukaryota; Metazoa; Mollusca; Bivalvia; Venerida; Veneridae
Exons: 4
Source: RefSeq, a predicted model, not a curated record
UAAAUGUAUAUGUACAAUGUUUGAAUUGAAUUUUUAUCGUUCAUUGGCUGCUUAUUUAUUUAGUUUGUAAAUUAAGGUGAAUAAUAAUGCUGAUCCAUUUGAUUUGUUUCUACAUUGGUGUGCUAACAGUUUCCGGAUUUUUAUACGAUAAUCCAUGCGACGUAUUUCCAAAGUAUUCUGGCGGCAUCUCCAACUCAGACGAUUUUACAACAACUGUAAACGUUCCAGCUAAAUGCAAGAAUGGGACAUUCCGCUGGGACUAUCCUAAAGGACAUGCCAUGCUCCAUUUUCAAAAUAUGCAGGAGAUGGAAAUUAAAAUCUGUAUAAAGGACAGAGUAGGUGGAACAGUUUUCAAUGUGACUUAAAAAGCUACCAAACAACGUCUCGGAACUUUUGAUUACGAAACCUCAGCCUGUUUCCAACCAACAUCAGAACGAGAUAUUGUUCUUCAGGUGGACGCUCCGUUAAGUCUUCGUUACAUGGGAGAGUUCGAAUACAGACUUUUCAAUUGAAAUUAAUUUAGAUUAUCGAAAUAAAAUUGAAACUUGAA